Molecule: unclassified non-coding RNA, 253 nt
Filed under: uncultured Anaerolineales bacterium
Lineage: Bacteria; Bacillati; Chloroflexota; Anaerolineae; Anaerolineales
Description: contains 16S-23S intergenic spacer region
Rfam family: Bacterial small subunit ribosomal RNA
Source: RNAcentral
CACGUAGGAUCCAAGCGUUAUCCGGAUUUACUGGGCGUAAAGCGCGUGCAGGUGGCCUAUUAAGUUGGAUGUUAAAACUCCCGGCUCAACUGGGAGCUGUCGUUCAAAACUAGUAGGCUAGAGGACGGUAGAGGGAGGUGGAAUUCCGGGUGUAGUGGUGAAAUGCGUAGAUAUCCGGAGGAACACCAGUGGCGAAGGCGGCCUCCUGGCCCGCUCCUGACACUAAGACGCGAAAGCUAGGGUAGCGAACGGG